Molecule: ribosomal RNA, 725 nt
Filed under: Triticum aestivum (bread wheat)
Lineage: Eukaryota; Viridiplantae; Streptophyta; Magnoliopsida; Poales; Poaceae
Description: partial small subunit ribosomal RNA
Source: RNAcentral
CACCCCCCAUCCCCGUCGUUCCUCCCGUGGUCCACGAACCAUUUCCCAAAAUUUCCCCACUCGCGAACCCUAACUUCGACCAGCCUCUCGCCCCAGAUCCCCUCCCCCUACUCUCACCAGGAGCAGAACCCACCCGCUCGGACCGCUCCGCGUAAUCGCCAUGGCGGACGAGGAACCCGUUGAUCCCAAGAAGUAUCUUGAGGAGCGGUGCAAGCCACAGUGUGUAAAACCACUGUAUGAGUAUGAGAAAUGUAUCAAGAGAGUCGAGGCCGAUGAUACUGGGCACAAGCACUGCACUGGGCAAUAUUUUGACUACUGGUCAUGCAUCGAUAAAUGUGUAGCACCAAAGCUCUUUGAAAAGCUGAAAUGAUAUUGGGGCGCUACUUUCAGUGAGUGAGCCUGGUCAUUGGCCAGAACUUUGUUCAAGUUGAAAUAUUUGACGAGUCUGCAAAUUGUCCUGUGACUGUGUUUCGAUUUCAUGAACUUGUAAUAAGAGCAACUAUCUUGACACUGUUUGCAACCAUUGAUUUAUGUUUGGCUAAGCACUGAUGACAACUAUAACAAUUUGAUGUCUGUCGAUACAGUUCUGGUACUGAACAUUUUUCUCGUCGAGAUCAUAUCCAACACAAAUAGACAAGAUUUCAACAACACAUAGCUAAACUGUGCAGGCACCAUGUUAUGACCCAUGAAUUGGAGGUGAUUUCUGGCUAUAAAAAACAUUUGAG